GGACCCGCACAAGUAGUGGAGCAUGUGGUUUAAUUCGAAGAUACGCGCAGAACCUUACCAACACUUGACAUGUUCGUCGCGACUCCAAGAGAUUGGAGUUUUCGGUUCGGCCGGACGAAACACAGGUGCUGCAUGGCUGUCGUCAGCUCGUGUCGUGAGAUGUUGGGUUAAGUCCCGCAACGAGCGCAACCCUCACUUUUAGUUGCCAUCAUUAAGUUGGGCACUCUGAAAGAACUGCCAGUGAUAAGCUGGAGGAAGGUGGGGAUGACGUCAAGUCCUCAUGGCCCUUACGUGUUGGGCUACACACGUGCUACAAUGGUAUCUACAACAGGAAGCAAGACGGUGACGUUAAGCAAAUCCUUAAAAGAUACCUCAGUUCGGAUUGCACUCUGCAACUCGAGUGCAUGAAGCUGGAAUUACUAGUAAUCGU
RNAcentral lists this ribosomal RNA (430 nucleotides) under uncultured bacterium. Its description in RNAcentral is "bacterial SSU rRNA". It matches the Rfam family "Bacterial small subunit ribosomal RNA", at positions 917 to 1345 of the family's 1533-position model. The record is from RNAcentral.